CAAAUAUAAAAUAAACAAUAAGAGUACAAUUCCAGUAUCAUUCAAAUAUAAAAUAAGUCUUUAUUCUUUAAGAUGUUACAUAUCACUGAGGAUUGCAGAAGAGUGUGAUUAAAUAUUUCAAAUCAAAGUGAUGAAAUCAGAAUAAUUCAUUAGUUUGAAACAGAGUGAACAGAGUCAGCUGAUCUUCAGUCAGCAGAGUUUCUCAGACCGACA
Labrus mixtus (cuckoo wrasse) is the source of this 213-nucleotide long non-coding RNA. RefSeq lists it as uncharacterized. The record is from RefSeq and is a predicted model, not a curated record. The transcript has 2 exons. NCBI's taxonomy places the organism in Eukaryota, Metazoa, Chordata, Actinopteri, Labriformes, Labridae.